AAUUAGUUGCGUUAACGAGUGAAAUGACAUCCUUUUUGAGGAACGAAAAAAGAUAUAGUGUAAAGCGUGACCUGCA
RNAcentral lists this small RNA (76 nucleotides) under Polaribacter sp. Hel1_33_96. RNAcentral describes it as "Flavo-1 RNA". The record is from RNAcentral. Lineage: Bacteria; Pseudomonadati; Bacteroidota; Flavobacteriia; Flavobacteriales; Flavobacteriaceae.